Molecule: ribosomal RNA, 374 nt
Filed under: uncultured organism
Description: partial 16S ribosomal RNA
Rfam family: Bacterial small subunit ribosomal RNA
Source: RNAcentral
GUAGGUGGCAAGCGUUGUCCGGAAUUAUUGGGCGUAAAGCGCGCGCAGGCGGUUCUUUAAGUCUGAUGUGAAAGCCCACGGCUCAACCGUGGAGGGUCAUUGGAAGCUGGAGAACUUGAGUACAGAAGAGGAAAGCGGAAUUCCACGUGUAGCGGUGAAAUGCGUAGAGAUGUGGAGGAACACCAGUGGCGAAGGCGGCUUUCUGGUCUGUAACUGACGCUGAGGCGCGAAAGCGUGGGGGAGCAAACAGGAUUAGGUACCCUGGUAGUCCACGCCGUAAACGAUGAGUGCUAAGUGUUAGGGGGGUUUCCGCCCCCCUUAGUGCUGCAGCUAACGCAUUAAGCACUCCGCCUGGGAGUACGGCCGCAAGGCUG